GACAUUCGUCAUUUGCGGAGACUGGUGGAGGAAGCGACAAGCUUCAGCAGGGGCAAGGGCUGAGGUGUGCUAGGGGAAGGGAAGGGUGGUGAAUCGUCAUCGCUACACCUGACGCCGUUCUCGCCAUGGCAGGUGCAUUUCUUGGAUGAACUACCAAACAUCCACACCUUCCGGCGAUGGUCGGUGCAGGCGGCUGAGGAAGACAGGUGAAGCUUGCUGGAACCGAAUAAUGUAUAUCGAAAUCAAAUCCAAGCGUACACCAUGCUGCAACGAAGGCCUGGAACCGAAUCCCACAAAACUGUAACCUGGAACUGAUUAUCCAACUUUGGAGGUGGUAUACGAACGGUUAUAUGACAAUUGCUCUCCAUUCACCCCAAAUCAUCUCAUAUGAGCU
RNAcentral lists this long non-coding RNA (394 nucleotides) under Vigna radiata. RNAcentral's name for it is "long non-coding RNA (VRAD_LNC008638)". The record is from RNAcentral. Lineage: Eukaryota; Viridiplantae; Streptophyta; Magnoliopsida; Fabales; Fabaceae.